Molecule: ribosomal RNA, 253 nt
Filed under: uncultured bacterium
Lineage: Bacteria
Description: partial 16S ribosomal RNA
Rfam family: Bacterial small subunit ribosomal RNA
Source: RNAcentral
GACGAACCGUGCGACCGUUGUUCGGAAUCACUGGGCCUAAAGGGCGCGUAGGCGGCUUUUCAAGUCAGGGGUGAAAUCCGGCAGCUCAACUGUCGAAGUGCCCUUGAUACUGACGAGCUCGAGGGAGGUAGGGGUGUGUGGAACUUCCGGUGGAGCGGUGAAAUGCGUUGAUAUCGGAAGGAACGCCGGUGGCGAAAGCGACGCACUGGACCUCUUCUGACGCUGAGGCGCGAAAGCCAGGGGAGCAAACGGG